AGUGAGAAUGAAACAGGGGCGGGACAAGACGACCAGCAGCAACUGUACUCAUCUCUUCUCCAUGGCGACGUUUGUGUGUAUGAAACUAUCAAAGACAAAAGAAACAGGGAUGAUGAACAGCUUGGGGACUACAGCAAUUUACC
Periophthalmus magnuspinnatus is the source of this 143-nucleotide long non-coding RNA. RefSeq lists it as uncharacterized. The record is from RefSeq and is a predicted model, not a curated record. Lineage: Eukaryota; Metazoa; Chordata; Actinopteri; Gobiiformes; Gobiidae. The transcript is spliced from 3 exons.